This 1375-nucleotide long non-coding RNA is filed under the name Numida meleagris (helmeted guineafowl). RNAcentral describes it as "lncRNA (ENSNMEG00000005634.1)". The record is from RNAcentral. Lineage: Eukaryota; Metazoa; Chordata; Aves; Galliformes; Numididae.
UGAGAUUUCAGUAUUGAAUGAUAUAUAUCAAACUGAUAUUCAGUUUGAACCAAUAAGUAAAAAAAUACAAAAUCUUCCUUAUGCAAGACAGAAGGUCAGUGAGUGCCAUUGAAGGGAAAGCCAAGGAGUGCCCUUCUCUGCAAGGGCUGAUCCAUUAACACACUUACAGCCAGCAAGGCUGCUUGGUCAGUGGUGCAAAGUAAACUUGAUGCAGCACACGAUACCCACUUUCUCCCGACACUCGUCUCUCGCAUCCUGUAUCUCUAACUAAUGUGAAAUUGUACCCUUGAUCUUUAGCCCAUUGUAGUGAAAAUGCUAAGUCACAGCUUGAACCAGUGAUGGAGCACCUGGUGGGAAGGCAGGGCCAAGCCAGGGGAGCUCAGGUGCAUGCAAUGUACCUGAGUGGCUGGAAGAAGUGGAGCCAGGAUCCACCCCUUCCCAGACCUCAUUUAAGAGCUGGCAGUGGAAGGAAGAGUAACUUGCUGGAUGUCCCUGCAUACUAGAGGUCUUUUGAAGGUAAGCAGUUUCUUUCCUUUAUUUUUGUGCCUAUGGCUGUUGCAUUUGAGCAAACCCUCACUUGCUGCAGCCUGGGACCUUGCUAAUCUGCUGUCAUUGCUGUGUUACAUCCAUCAAUUGCAGAGUUGCAUGAUCACACGCCCACAUAAGAUCUUGGUCAAGCUCAGAUGGCAUUUAGAGGCUGCACAUGACUCCAGGAAUCUGACUAUGCAGAUAAUGGAGAAAUAUAGACCUUCACCAAGUGAGAGCUCAUCCUAAAUAGAUGUGUGAGUGGAUAACGUAGAAGGACUUAUACUUUUCAGCUGUGUAAGAAAUUCUAAGGUAAAAUACUCAAAUUUGUUAUCAUAAAGCAAUCUCGUAUGUAAUGCAAGUAACCGUUGCCUUGUUGCUCUAUGUAUCUUGUCACGCUCAGCAAAGAGAUGGAUUCGGAUGGGAUGUUCAUCUCUGCUUUGUGUCACUGUAGAGGGUAACCUUAACAACUAGGAAACCUUUUUCUCUUUGCCAAAAUUCUGUGUGCUCUGACCAUACAUAGCACCUCUGCUGAAGAAGGGCACUGCUCUUUCUCUUGUCAAACCAUUUUGCAAGGCAGCCCACUCUCAAGAAAGCUGAACUAGUGUUAAGUCUGGAGCAAGGUCAUCAGCCCACACCCAGGUAAUCUGAAAAAACAAACAGGCAAUAUAUUUGGUCAGAAAUCGUCUUAUAAUAAUUCACAUGAUGAUAUAGAUCUGCUUUUUUUUUUUUUUGCUUUCGGCCUUUCAGUGCAGUAUAAUGGAUCAAUAAGAAGAAAUUGUGGAUUUGUUUAUUUAUUUAUUGCCUUAGGAAAAAUAAAGUUUUCUUUCCACCUGUAUCUGUGGAAAUA